AGAGUUUGAUCAUGGCUCAGAUUGAACGCUGGCGGCAGGCCUAACACAUGCAAGUCGAGCGGUAGAGAGAAGCUUGCUUCUCUUGAGAGCGGCGGACGGGUGAGUAAUGCCUAGGAAUCUGCCUGGUAGUGGGGGAUAACGCUCGGAAACGGACGCUAAUACCGCAUACGUCCUACGGGAGAAAGCAGGGGACCUUCGGGCCUUGCGCUAUCAGAUGAGCCUAGGUCGGAUUAGCUAGUUGGUGAGGUAAUGGCUCACCAAGGCGACGAUCCGUAACUGGUCUGAGAGGAUGAUCAGUCACACUGGAACUGAGACACGGUCCAGACUCCUACGGGAGGCAGCAGUGGGGAAUAUUGGACAAUGGGCGAAAGCCUGAUCCAGCCAUGCCGCGUGUGUGAAGAAGGUCUUCGGAUUGUAAAGCACUUUAAGUUGGGAGGAAGGGCAUUAACCUAAUACGUUAGUGUUUUGACGUUACCGACAGAAUAAGCACCGGCUAACUCUGUGCCAGCAGCCGCGGUAAUACAGAGGGUGCAAGCGUUAAUCGGAAUUACUGGGCGUAAAGCGCGCGUAGGUGGUUCGUUAAGUUGGAUGUGAAAUCCCCGGGCUCAACCUGGGAACUGCAUUCAAAACUGACGAGCUGGAGUAUGGUAGAGGGUGGUGGAAUUUCCCGUGUAGCGGUGAAAUGCGUAGAUAUAGGAAGGAACACCAGUGGCGAAGGCGACCACCUGGACUGAUACUGACACCGAGGUGCGAAAGCGUGGGGAGCAAACAGGAUUAGAUACCCUGGUAGUCCACGCCGUAAACGAUGUCAACUAGCCGUUGGGAGCCUUGAGCUCUUAGUGGCGCAGCUAACGCAUUAAGCUGACCGCCUGGGGAGUACGGCCGCAAGGUUAAAACUCAAAUGAAUUGACGGGGGCCCGCACAAGCGGCGGAGCAUGUGGUUUAAUUCGAAGCAACGCGAAGAACCUUACCAGGCCUUGACAUCCAAUGAACUUUCCAGAGAUGGAUUGGUGCCUUCGGGAACAUUGAGACAGGUGCUGCAUGGCUGUCGUCAGCUCGUGUCGUGAGAUGUUGGGUUAAGUCCCGUAACGAGCGCAACCCUUGUCCUUAGUUACCAGCACGUAAUGGUGGGCACUCUAAGGAGACUGCCGGUGACAAACCGGAGGAAGGUGGGGAUGACGUCAAGUCAUCAUGGCCCUUACGGCCUGGGCUACACACGUGCUACAAUGGUCGGUACAGAGGGUUGCCAAGCCGCGAGGUGGAGCUAAUCCCACAAAACCGAUCGUAGUCCGGAUCGCAGUCUGCAACUCGACUGCGUGAAGUCGGAAUCGCUAGUAAUCGCGAAUCAGAAUGUCGCGGUGAAUACGUUCCCGGGCCUUGUACACACCGCCCGUCACACCAUGGGAGUGGGUUGCACCAGAAGUAGCUAGUCUAACCUUCGGGAGGACGGUUACCACGGUGUGAUUCAUGACUGGGGUGAAGUCGUAACAAGGUA
RNAcentral lists this ribosomal RNA (1495 nucleotides) under metagenome. Its description in RNAcentral is "bacterial SSU rRNA". It matches the Rfam family "Bacterial small subunit ribosomal RNA". The record is from RNAcentral.